This 253-nucleotide ribosomal RNA is filed under the name uncultured bacterium. Its description in RNAcentral is "partial 16S ribosomal RNA". It matches the Rfam family "Bacterial small subunit ribosomal RNA", at positions 524 to 776 of the family's 1533-position model. The record is from RNAcentral.
UACAGAGGGUGCAAGCGUUAAUCGGAAUUACUGGGCGUAAAGCGUGCGUAGACGGUUACAUAAGUCGGGUGUGAAAGCCCCGGGCUCAACCUGGGAAUUGCAUUCGAGACUGCGUAGCUAGGGUGCGGAAGAGGGAAGCGGAAUUUCCGGUGUAGCGGUGAAAUGCGUAGAUAUCUGGAGGAACACCGGUGGCGAAGGCGGCAUCCUGGACCGGCAUUGACGCUGAGGAGCGAAAGCCAGGGGAGCAAACGGG